GGGGCUGCACUGGUUUCGACAUGGGUUCGGGCGCGCAGCAGGGCAUGUCGAGGUUCUGUCACCUCGUAAAACCGCAGAAAAAAACUAACUGCAAACGACGAA
This 102-nucleotide transfer-messenger RNA is filed under the name Betaproteobacteria bacterium. RNAcentral's name for it is "partial transfer-messenger RNA". It matches the Rfam family "transfer-messenger RNA", at positions 1 to 104 of the family's 374-position model. Rfam says of the family: Bacterial tmRNA, also known as 10Sa RNA or SsrA, is named for its dual tRNA and mRNA-like properties. Its role is to liberate the mRNA from a stalled ribosome. Lineage: Bacteria; Pseudomonadati; Pseudomonadota; Betaproteobacteria. The record is from RNAcentral.